Molecule: ribosomal RNA, 50 nt
Filed under: Berkeleyomyces basicola
Lineage: Eukaryota; Fungi; Ascomycota; Sordariomycetes; Microascales; Ceratocystidaceae
Description: partial 28S ribosomal RNA
Source: RNAcentral
ACUUUUGAAAGGUUGACCUCGGAUCAGGUAGGAAUACCCGCUGAACUUAA